UUCGUGUUGACUUGUAUAAAACAAAACAGAAAAUAGAAAAAUAAAUGCUAAUAUGAACUACAUUAAUUGAACUAAUUGGUGAAAAUCUUAUAACUUAUUUUGCUUCAUUCUUU
RNAcentral lists this small RNA (113 nucleotides) under Oryza sativa Japonica Group (Japanese rice). RNAcentral's name for it is "sRNA Os12g0241001". Lineage: Eukaryota; Viridiplantae; Streptophyta; Magnoliopsida; Poales; Poaceae. The record is from RNAcentral.